Molecule: long non-coding RNA, 399 nt
Organism: Arabidopsis thaliana (thale cress)
Lineage: Eukaryota; Viridiplantae; Streptophyta; Magnoliopsida; Brassicales; Brassicaceae
Product: other RNA
Exons: 1
Source: RefSeq
AACACGUGGCUAGAGGUGAAGAGCCAGAGAGAUGGACCGACACGAGAGGAGACAGAACCGAAUUGGAGAUUCUGGUGUGAACCGUUGGAUUAAAAAGACAAAAUCUUUUAUAAUGUAACGUGGCUCACGCUUUUGGCCCUUUUGGUAGUUCAACCCACAUGACCAAUCUUAGACCGUCGGAUGAAGAAGUUGAGUGGACCGUACAUAAGCCACCUCUUGAAAUCGUAGGGUUCGAAAGCGUCUGUUACGUGCCAAAGAGUUCUUAUCAUCUAGUGAGUACUUUUCGCUGAAAGUGCUUUAAACUAGUUUCAAGAUUGUGUGUGUGUGAUCUAAACUGUUAGAUUUUUACGGUCAAAGUGAUAUCUAUAUUAGUUGUACGGCUUAUGUGUGUGUGAAACU